GACGAACGCUGGCGGCGUGCUUAACACAUGCAAGUCGAACGGAAAGGCCCUGCUUUUGUGGGGUGCUCGAGUGGCGAACGGGUGAGUAACACGUGAGUAACCUGCCCUUGACUUUGGGAUAACUUCAGGAAACUGGGGCUAAUACCGGAUAGGAGCUCCUGCUGCAUGGUGGGGGUUGGAAAGUUUCGGCGGUUGGGGAUGGACUCGCGGCUUAUCAGCUUGUUGGUGGGGUAGUGGCUUACCAAGGCUUUGACGGGUAGCCGGCCUGGGAGGGUGACCGGCCACAUUGGGACUGAGAGACGGCCCAGACGCCUACGGGAGGCAGCAGUGGGGAAUAUUGCGCAAUGGGCGGAAGCCUGAUGCAGCAACGCCGCGUGCGGGAUGACGGCCUUCGGGUUGUAAACCGCUUUCGCCUGUGACGAAGCGUGAGUGACGGUAAUGGGUAAAGAAGCACCGGCUAACUACGUG
RNAcentral lists this ribosomal RNA (468 nucleotides) under uncultured bacterium. RNAcentral's name for it is "partial 16S ribosomal RNA". It matches the Rfam family "Bacterial small subunit ribosomal RNA", at positions 28 to 507 of the family's 1533-position model. The record is from RNAcentral.